GUUUGAUCCUGGCUCAGAAUGAACGCUGGCGGCGUGCUUAACACAUGCAAGUCGAACGGUAACAGGAGGAAGCUUGCUUUCUUGCUGACGAGUGGCGCACGGGUGAGUAAUGCAUAGGUAACGUGCCUCUUAGUCUGGGAUAGCCACUGGAAACGGUGAUUAAUACUAGAUACGCCUUCUCUCUUGAUGAGAGUUGGGAAAGUUUUUCGCUAAGGGAUCGGCCUAUGUUGUAUCAGGUAGUUGGUGAGGUAAUGGCUCACCAAGCCUAUGACACAUAGCGGGUCUGAGAGGAUGAUCCGCCACACUGGUACUGAGACACGGACCAGACUCCUACGGGAGGCAGCAGUGGGGAAUAUUGCACAAUGGACGAAAGUCUGAUGCAGCAACGCCGCGUGGAGGAUGACACAUUUCGGUGCGUAAACUCCUUUUAUAUGAGAAGAUAAUGACGGUAUCAUAUGAAUAAGCACCGGCUAACUCCGUGCCAGCAGCCGCGGUAAUACGGAGGGUGCAAGCGUUAUUCGGAAUCACUGGGUGUAAAGGGUGCGUAGGCGGUUUGGAAAGUCAGAUGUGAAAGCCUACAGCUUAACUGUAGAACUGCAUUUGAAACUUCCAGACUAGAAUACUGAAGGGGCAGAUGGAAUUAGUGGUGUAGGGGUAAAAUCCGUAGAUAUCACUAGGAAUACCGAAAGCGAAAGCGAUCUGCUGGGAAGUUAUUGACGCUGAGGCACGAAAGCGUGGGGAGCAAACGGGAUUAGAUACCCCGGUAGUCCACGCCCUAAACGAUGAAUGCUAGUCGUCGGAAAGCUCGUCUUUUCGGUGAUGCAGUUAACACAUUAAGCAUUCCGCCUGGGGAGUACGGUCGCAAGAUUAAAACUCAAAGGAAUAGACGGGGACCCGCACAAGUGGUGGAGCAUUGGUUUAGUUCGAAAAUACGCGAAGAACCUUACCUAGCCUUGACAUUGAUAGAAUCUGGUAGAGAUACCGGAGUGCCUGCUUGCAGGAGCUUGAAAACAGGUGCUGCACGGCUGUCGUCAGCUCGUGUCGUGAGAUGUUGGGUUAAGUCCCGCAACGAGCGCAACCCUCGUCGUUAGUUGCUAACAGCUCGGCUGAGCACUCUAGCGAGACUGCCUUCGCAAGGAGGAGGAAGGUGAGGACGACGUCAAGUCAUCAUGGCCCUUAUGGCUAGGGCUACACACGUGCUACAAUGGGGCGUACAGAGAGUUGCGAUACCGCGAGGUGGAGCUAAUC
RNAcentral lists this ribosomal RNA (1248 nucleotides) under metagenome. RNAcentral's name for it is "bacterial SSU rRNA". It matches the Rfam family "Bacterial small subunit ribosomal RNA", at positions 11 to 1273 of the family's 1533-position model. The record is from RNAcentral.